Molecule: ribosomal RNA, 254 nt
Filed under: uncultured bacterium
Lineage: Bacteria
Description: partial 16S ribosomal RNA
Rfam family: Bacterial small subunit ribosomal RNA
Source: RNAcentral
UACGUAGGGUGCGAGCGUUGUCCGGAAUUAUUGGGCGUAAAGAGCUCGUAGGCGGUGUGUCGCGUCGGUCGUGAAAACUUGGGGCUUAACCCUGAGCUUGCGGUCGAUACGGGCAUCACUGGAGUUCGGCAGGGGAGACUGGAAUUCCUGGUGUAGCGGUGAAAUGCGCAGAUAUCAGGAGGAACACCGGUGGCGAAGGCGGGUCUCUGGGCCGAUACUGACGCUGAGGAGCGAAAGCAUGGGUAGCGAACAGG